This 432-nucleotide long non-coding RNA is filed under the name Phoenix dactylifera (date palm). Its description in RNAcentral is "long non-coding RNA (PDAC_LNC012644)". The record is from RNAcentral. Lineage: Eukaryota; Viridiplantae; Streptophyta; Magnoliopsida; Arecales; Arecaceae.
CCUUUGUUAGGGCUGCAUCCAGCCCUGGAGAAGAGCUUAGCCCUGCAUGGAGAAUUGAACAGCCGCAGCAGUAGAGAAGGCUUUCAUCGUGACCUGUUCUUCUUUCUUUCUUCCUCUGGCGACUUCCAUUGAAGAAACUCCCUCUUAGCACUUCAUUUUUUUAUAUAGGAGAAAUCAUUCCCGAAAUGCCCCAAAGACUUCUCUCCCUCCUUCUAUUAUUUUUUUCUUUUGUGUGGAACUCCCCUCCUCCGAAGAGAUCCUGGAACCGAACCCCCCAAGCUUGCCUUCAUCUUCACGCGUUGAUUCCCUUUUAUAGCCUUCACCUGGGUGGGCGGAUAAGGUUGAUUGAGCUGAUCUGCCGUUGGGAAGAUGAGCUGAGAUUUCUUCAACGUUGAGGAGAUGCGGCUGGUAGUUGAUCCGGAAGUUGUGUUG